RNAcentral lists this transfer RNA (69 nucleotides) under Helogenes marmoratus. RNAcentral's name for it is "tRNA-Asp". The record is from RNAcentral. Lineage: Eukaryota; Metazoa; Chordata; Actinopteri; Siluriformes; Cetopsidae.
AAGAUACUAGUAAAACUAUUACCAUGCCUUGUCAAGACAUAAUUGUAGGUUAAACCCCUGCGUAUCUUA